UCCAGCAUUACCCAGAACGCCAUGCAGGACCAGAGCGCCACAGCCGGGACUCCCGUGAUGGCUGGGGGGGCUGUGGCUCCGACAGGAGGAUGAGCGAGGGCCGGGGGCUGCCUCCUCCCCCCAGGGGCAGACAUGACUACUCGGGGGACCGUGGCUGAAGAGAGGAUGACUGAGCAUGGCAGGGCACAGCUGAUGGGGGCAUGAUGGACAGGGAUCACAAGAGAUGGCAAGGUGGUGAGAGAAGCAUGUCCGGUCACUCCGGGCCUGGCCACAUGAUGAACUGAGAAGGGAUGUCAGGGCUCGGCAGCUUUGCCUCAGGCGGGGCCUCCCGGGGCCACCCCAUCCCACACGGUGGUAUGCAAGGCGGGUUCGGAGGCCCGAGCAGGGGGAGCAGGCCCAUCAAUGCCCGCUUCACUCGCCGCUA
RNAcentral lists this long non-coding RNA (424 nucleotides) under Homo sapiens (human). RNAcentral describes it as "non-protein coding lnc-UBASH3B-3:1". The record is from RNAcentral. Lineage: Eukaryota; Metazoa; Chordata; Mammalia; Primates; Hominidae.